RNAcentral lists this long non-coding RNA (776 nucleotides) under Schizosaccharomyces pombe (fission yeast). The record is from RNAcentral. Lineage: Eukaryota; Fungi; Ascomycota; Schizosaccharomycetes; Schizosaccharomycetales; Schizosaccharomycetaceae.
GAUGGCCAAAAAAUUAAAUAUAAUUUGGUGAAUUUAACUCCUAUAUAAAAGUUUUGUUUUUUCAAGCCUAAGGAUAUCGUUGAAGCUAUUGCUGUGGAUUACCGAUGUUAGACUAAAUAAUAGUUGACACCAAUUCGAUUUAUUAACAGUUUAUAAACUUUCUCCCUACAUAGUCUUCUUUCUUCGAUAAUUACUUUAACACAUAUAAAAUGGAAUUGUAAAUAUACUAAACGAAACGAUAAGACAUAGCCAAACUAUGAAGGAAUUAUGCAUAUAGCAUUUGAAUAAAUUAAAUACUGAAAGCUAAAAGAGCUGCUAUAGAGUACAAACUCAGAUUCUUAUAUCGCACCUGUGAUGAAUAAAUGUUUGAAGAAGCGAUUUUUAUUAACGAAAAUAUAACAUAAUAAAAGAGCUUAUUUUUUUUGCUUUGCUUUAAGAUAUUAGAAGUACUCUACUUUUACCCCAUAUUAAAUGUUGAAUAAGAAGAUAUGGUUUUCGCAUUUGAAAGCACAACGUCCAUGUCUUUUCGAUUAAGAUUCAUUAAGUAUUAUUGGUGAAUAUAAUUGAGUGCAAGGGACUCUCUCGCUGAAUUUACCAUAUGCAAAUAUAUCAUAAAUCCACAGAAACCAGUAUAGGAUGUCCGUUGAAUAAGGAAAAUUUUAUUUAAGUCUAACUCUGAUAAUACGUUUUGUAUGUCAGUCAAUUGAAUAUAAGUGCAAAUUUUUAUUUUUUUAAUGACCUAUUUAUUGUAAUAAAAUCACGUUUCUUUGUUAAAA